RNAcentral lists this long non-coding RNA (234 nucleotides) under Lathyrus oleraceus (garden pea). RNAcentral describes it as "Pisum sativum (pea) long non-coding RNA (PSAT_LNC032857)". Lineage: Eukaryota; Viridiplantae; Streptophyta; Magnoliopsida; Fabales; Fabaceae. The record is from RNAcentral.
AAAUUUCGUUUCUCUCUAUCUCUCUCUCUCACACUCAAAGCCUUCAUUCGUAGCAGCUAGCACUAAGACUGAAGGAAUCCAUUCGUGUGGACUGAGUAGAGGCGUUGUCACCAUUCAACGUUCGUGAUCACUCCUUAGAUCUGCAUCAAAGGUUUCAAUCGCCACAAGAGGUAAUGAUUCUAUCACUGGUCAUGCCCAUUCAUAAGGAUCACUAAAGGAGAAAAAAUUUAAAUU